CUGGAGAUCCUCAUGGAGGAUAUUGUGAGACUACAACAUUGGAUUCCAGGGUGCAGGAUGGUAGGUGUCAGUAAAGGUGCUGCACUGCAAUAAUCAGUCAAAAGAUGCCUCUAAGAAAAGCAUUUUCUCUCUAGUUUCCAGUAACCUAGGUUUGAGUUUAAAGUCAACAUAGUGUUUUGAUGCAUGGAAUAAGUGAAAAUUGUCCAGUUGGUGAGAGGGUGUUCCUGGAGGACACUAUUGUCACAUCAAGAAUAACUGAAUUAUGCAUGAAGAAGCUCUAAAAAGUUCAGCAGCACAAAGAAGGCAUCCUCCAGGCAAUAAGUAGGGUGAGGAGCUAAGGGACUUAUUACUUCUAUCAUCUCACUUCUGCUGCUGCCUGUAAUGCUUAGAGGAAGCUUUGGACCUGGCUGAAGUCUGUGAAGACAUGGAUGAGAGUUGUUUGGAAUUAGAAUUGAAGAAGGAAGAAGCCAGCUGAAGUAAAAGUAAUAGUUUGUCUCCUGUCAGUGGACAGACCAAAACAAGUUCCCCCAGAUGUUAAUGUAUUCUGUAAUUUUCAAAAUUGCAGAUGCUUGGCACAAAACUGAAGCAACCUGUUCUUAUUCUGGGUCCGUCUUCACAGGAAGAACAGAAUAUGUCCCUGUUUUAUGUGUCACUUAAUAUCUUUGUCUGUUCAUGAAGAUUGCAAUUUUAUGUAAUGAAAAUCCAGACGUUAAGAAUGAUUGAAGCAUCCCUACACUGUUAACACAGAUUAUAUUUUCCAUCAUAAAUUAUGGCAGGAAUAAUGCAUUAUGGUGAAUGGUGAGCUCCCACUGACCUCAGUUUAACUAAGAUUUUGCCCAUUACAUAUCUGUGGUACCUUUUGACUGUUUUCAACACUCUUCCCUACCUGACACAUCAUUAACAUCUUUAACGUUUGAACAACUUACAGCAAUUUCAACUACGUCUUUUAAAAAGUUAUAAUUGUUCUGCCUUUACAACUUCAAAUAGUUUGUGCAGAAAAAAAACUGAUACAAAUCACUACUUUUCUUUUACCAACCUGUUACCAACCUCUUACUGUAGAAAUGUUGUCAUUGAUUCUAUAUUUCUAUAUCUGCUUUAACUUUGCGGAUUGUUUUACAAGUAUAUGAUGGAAGAGUGAUUAGGGAUGUUUUUGUCUAAGAUGCUAAGGAAAUGGAAUUUUGUGACCCCAACAAUGCCCUUCCUCUUCUGUGAAAAGCAAUUGUUUUGACUUGCAUUUUGGACAGAAUAGCACUGAGAUUUGCAGACCAAAAGACAUUAACAUUGAGAUCUUAGAUUUGUUGAGAUUUCGUGGCACUUUUGUGUGUUUGUGAGAGAAUUUGUCCUUUAUUCUCUUUAUUCUUCCAGCUGUUAGUACAACUUUUUCCACUACAUUGGGGUUAAUGAAACCCACUACAAUUUCAGUUAAUGAAAAGAAAAAACUUUUUUGAAGAAUUUGCUGAGGAAAACACUUGUGUUUAUCUUAGUAAAGCUAUAUUUAAAAUAUUUGGGGAGGGGGGAAAGCUUGACAUGGAAGACAUGUUUUUUCUGGCCCUCCUUACUUGCUAGCAUGUAAGGCAUUCAACAGAACAAACAAGGAUUAAACUUUUCUUGCAGUUUCUUGCAGUUUCACAGGUACAUUCACUUUUCUGAGUCAGUUUUUAAUCUUGCAGUGCAGAAUUGCAACUGGUUUGUUUUCUUCAAGGUUUGCUUCAACCUUCUUUAUGGUGUAGAAAAUUACUGACUUUGGUUUCUCUCUUUAACUGGCCUAAACAGCAGGAACCACAUUAAAGAAUUCACCUGCAAAAAUGAAGGAGAUACAUUAAAAAAAAAAAAAAAAUGCUUGCAAAUAUCAGGGGUGGGUAAAUUUGGGGGCAUAACAGCAACAGCAAUGUUUUGGAAGUUAGAUUUAUGGAUAUGUUGAUUGUGCCAGUUUUAAGACAAAGAUUUUUUUUCUGCAUGUUCAGAUUUGAGAGGGAAUUAGUGCCACUCACCUGUAGGUGAGCACAAUGAAGACUAAAGUAGUCACCAUUGGUGAAAAUAAAAGAAAGUUACCUUUCAGGUAAGGAAGCACAGCAAACCUUUCAGCUUUCUGUUUUAAAAUUUCCUGGAUUUGAAA
Long non-coding RNA from Phasianus colchicus (ring-necked pheasant), 2116 nucleotides. RefSeq lists it as uncharacterized. NCBI's taxonomy places the organism in Eukaryota, Metazoa, Chordata, Aves, Galliformes, Phasianidae. The record is from RefSeq and is a predicted model, not a curated record.